UCCUCUAUAGCUCAAUUGGCAGAGCACGGAGCUGUUAACUCUGGGGUUCCUGGUUCGAGUCCAGGUGGAGGAG
This 73-nucleotide transfer RNA is filed under the name Synechococcus phage S-CAM9. It matches the Rfam family "tRNA". From Rfam's summary of the family: Transfer RNA (tRNA) molecules are approximately 80 nucleotides in length. Their secondary structure includes four short double-helical elements and three loops (D, anti-codon, and T loops). Further hydrogen bonds mediate the characteristic L-shaped molecular structure. tRNAs have two regions of fundamental functional importance: the anti-codon, which is responsible for specific mRNA codon recognition, and the 3' end, to which the tRNAs corresponding amino acid is attached (by aminoacyl-tRNA synthetases). tRNAs cope with the degeneracy of the genetic code in two manners: having more than one tRNA (with a specific anti-codon) for a particular amino acid; and 'wobble' base-pairing, i.e. permitting non-standard base-pairing at the 3rd anti-codon position. The record is from Rfam by way of RNAcentral. Lineage: Duplodnaviria; Heunggongvirae; Uroviricota; Caudoviricetes; Pantevenvirales; Kyanoviridae.